RNAcentral lists this long non-coding RNA (202 nucleotides) under Brachypodium distachyon (stiff brome). RNAcentral's name for it is "long non-coding RNA (BDIS_LNC000354)". Lineage: Eukaryota; Viridiplantae; Streptophyta; Magnoliopsida; Poales; Poaceae. The record is from RNAcentral.
UCCUCGCCAGCAGCAGGUCGCGCCACGGCCUACAGCCGCUCUCUUCUAACUCUCCCAGCACCGGCAGCUCUUCUUCUUACUCUUCCAGUGCACCAUCUCGUGAUCUCGUCCAGGCUCCGCCUCCGGCAUGCGACAAAUACCAAACGACGGGCUGCAGGCGGACAGUGCACCCCAGCUGCCGUAUCUCCGCUGCGAUGCGAGC